Molecule: ribosomal RNA, 567 nt
Filed under: Triticum aestivum (bread wheat)
Lineage: Eukaryota; Viridiplantae; Streptophyta; Magnoliopsida; Poales; Poaceae
Description: partial small subunit ribosomal RNA
Source: RNAcentral
AUGAUUAUUGGUGAUUUCAAUGAGAUCUCAAACAUGAGUGAGAAAGAAGGAGGGAAUGCUAGGCCUGAACAAUAUAUGAGAGAAUUCAGAGAUUGUAUUGAAGACUGUGGACUGCAUGAGGUCAUGUUCAUAGGUGAUGAGUUCACUUGGAGACGAGGGGAUAUUCGAGAGAGGCUGGAUAAAGCCCUUUGCAAUGACUUGUGGGCAGAGAAAUUCCCCCAUGCAGCUGUAGUGCAUGAGCAACACGUUCAUUCAGAUCAUAGGCCUGUUCUGCUGGACACAGAUUAUUAUAAAUCGGGGAUGGAACAACAGCGACGGAACCAUAAACGUAUGUUUGAAGCUCGGUGGUUAAAUGAAGAGACCGUGAAUGAGAUUAUUAACUCUACAUGGGAACGAGCUAAACUAGCCGGGUUGGGACCUUCUCUCGCGGUCAGGACUCGGUCUGUAUUGAAGGAUCUGCAUGAGUGGGAUCAAGAGAUACUAAAAAGCCCCAAAAAGAUGAUACACAAGCUGAGGAAAGACUUAGAGAAGCUUAAGAGAAGGCCGAAUACUAGUGAGAUUCGGUAG